ACUCCUACGGGAGGCAGCAGUGGGGAAUUUUGGACAAUGGGGGCAACCCUGAUCCAGCCAUUCCGCGUGAGUGAAGAAGGCCUUCGGGUUGUAAAGCUCUUUCAGCCGGAACGAAACGGUACGCACUAAUAUUGUGUGCUAAUGACGGUACCGGCAGAAGAAGCACCGGCUAACUACGUGCCAGCAGCCGCGGUAAUACGUAGGGUGCGAGCGUUAAUCGGAAUUACUGGGCGUAAAGCGUGCGCAGGCGGAUUGUUAAGCAAGAUGUGAAAUCCCCGGGCUUAACCUGGGAAUGGCAUUUUGAACUGGCAGUCUAGAGUGUGUCAGAGGGGGGUGGAAUUCCACGUGUAGCAGUGAAAUGCGUAGAUAUGUGGAGGAACACCAAUGGCGAAGGCAGCCCCCUGGGAUAACACUGACGCUCAUGUACGAAAGCGUGGGUAGCAAACAGGAUUAGAUACCCUGGUAGUCCACGCCCUAAACGAUG
This 484-nucleotide ribosomal RNA is filed under the name uncultured bacterium. RNAcentral's name for it is "bacterial SSU rRNA". It matches the Rfam family "Bacterial small subunit ribosomal RNA", at positions 335 to 811 of the family's 1533-position model. The record is from RNAcentral.